UACGGAGGGUGCGAGCGUUGUCCGGAUUUAUUGGGUUUAAAGGGUGCGUAGGCGGCCCGUUAAGUCAGCGGUGAAAUCCCACGGCUCAACCGUGGAACUGCCGUUGAUACUGGCGGGCUUGAGUACAGACGAGGCAGGCGGAAUUGAUGGUGUAGCGGUGAAAUGCAUAGAUACCAUCAGGAACCCCGAUUGCGAAGGCAGCUUGCUAGGCUGUGACUGACGCUGAGGCACGAAAGCGUGGGGAGCGAACAGG
This 253-nucleotide ribosomal RNA is filed under the name uncultured bacterium. RNAcentral describes it as "partial 16S ribosomal RNA". It matches the Rfam family "Bacterial small subunit ribosomal RNA", at positions 524 to 776 of the family's 1533-position model. The record is from RNAcentral.